GUCGGGGAAGAAAAUGACUGUACCCGAAUAAGAAGGUCCGGCUAACUUCGUGCCAGCAGCCGCGGUAAUACGAAGGGACCUAGCGUAGUUCGGAAUUACUGGGCUUAAAGAGUUCGUAGGUUGUUGAAAAAGUUAGUGGUGAAAUCCCAGAGCUUAACUCUGGAACUGCCAUUAAAACUUUUCAGCUAGAGUAUGAUAGAGGAAAGCAGAAUUUCUAGUGUAGAGGUGAAAUUCGUAGAUAUUAGAAAGAAUACCAAUUGCGAAGGCAGCUUUCUGGAUCAUUACUGACACUGAGGAACGAAAGCAUGGGUAGCGAAGAGGAUUAGAUACCCUCGUAGUCCAUGCCGUAAACGAUGUGUGUUAGACGUUGGAAAUUUAUUUUCAGUGUCGCAGGGAAACCGAUAAACACACCGCCUGGGGAGUACGACCGCAAGGUUAAAACUCAAAUGAAUUGACGGGGACCCGCACAAGUAGUGGAGCAUGUGGUUUAAUUCGAAGAUACGCGCAGAACCUUACCAACACUUGACAUGUUCGUCGCGACUCUAAGAGAUUAGAGUUUUCGGUUCGGCCGGACGAAACACAGGUGCUGCAUGGCUGUCGUCAGCUCGUGUCGUGAGAUGUUGGGUUAAGUCCCGCAACGAGCGCAACCCUCACUUUUAGUUGCCAUCAUUAAGUUGGGCACUCUGAAAGAACUGCCAGUGAUAAGCUGGAGGAAGGUGGGGAUGACGUCAAGUCCUCAUGGCCCUUACGUGUUGGGCUACACACGUGCUACAAUGGUAUCUACAACAGGAAGCAAGACUGCGAAGUUAAGCAAAUCCCUAAAAGAUACCUCAGUUCG
Molecule: ribosomal RNA, 838 nt
Filed under: marine metagenome
Description: bacterial SSU rRNA
Rfam family: Bacterial small subunit ribosomal RNA
Source: RNAcentral